GUCUACAGCCAUACCGCCCUGAAUGUGCACUCCUCUAAUCUCAAAAGCUAAACAGGAUCGGGCCUGUUAGUACUUGGAUGGAAAUUCAGCAUGUGAUGGGACAGUAGUAG
Capra hircus (goat) is the source of this 110-nucleotide ribosomal RNA. NCBI's taxonomy places the organism in Eukaryota, Metazoa, Chordata, Mammalia, Artiodactyla, Bovidae. The record is from Ensembl.